UUUUUAAACAUAUAGAUACAUAUAUAUUGAUACACACACACAAUAUAAUUGGAAGGUAAUCUCAGAGGGAAGCCAUUAGCAGGAAGUCGGAAGCAGGGGCCUCCAGAGAGACCUACAGAACUGGGGAUUUGAGGGGCAGAGUCCUUCUCUUUAGCCUUAUCUAGUCAUGAAUUCCAGAGCCAUAGGAGCUUAGUAAGGGAAGGCAGUGAGACGGAGAACGGGAGGGAGAUGGGAAACAUCCCUCCCCUUUUGAACUUUAGAGUCUCACCCCAGCACCCAGGACCACACUCAGUGUCAUUGUCAGCGGUCCUGGCUCACACUGGGAAGUUCUGCGCUCUAGUCAACUGGGAAAUAGAUUUUGAUGUUUAAAAAAAAAAAGGAAAGGUUUCAUGAUAAAAAAGGCAUUCAUUCUCCCCAGCCGGCGGGAGGCUCUGGCCGUCCUGCUCCUGUCACCCCUGAGGAUUCUUCCAGCGCCAUCUCCAUCAGCUCGAGCAUCAGCUCAGCCAAGUUGGGACUCUUGGCACGGCCCCCGUGUAGAGCCCAGCCAAAGAAUUCCAUGCUGUGCACAUCUGCAGCGCGGAACGCGGGCCUUUCGGAGGGAGAUUUAUUGCUUUUGCUUCUUCCCCUCCUCCUCGUCGAAGGUUUCUGGAUGCUGUUCCUUGUGUACAGCAUGCGCCUCGGGCUUAUCGGGGACGAAUGACAGAACUUUGGGGGCAGCUGGAUGGCUCAGUGGAUGGAGAGCCAGGCCAGCUAGAUAUCCUUGUUGUCCGACUCCUUUCAGCCCUGUCCGACGCUUCAUGAUCCCAUUGGGGGUUUUCUUGGCAAAUCUACUGCAAUGGUUUGCCUUUUCCUUCUCCAGCUCAUUUGACAGAGGAGGAAACUAAGGCAAACAAGAUGAAGUGACUUAGCCAUCGUCACACAGCUAGUCAGUGUCUGAAGCCAGAUUUGAACUCAGGAGGAGGAAUGCUCCAGACUCCAGCCUUGGAAGGCUCUCCGCUGCCCCAUCUAGAGAUAAAGGGAAAUAAAUACUAUGAUCACCAUUUUGGAGUUUCUCCA
Molecule: long non-coding RNA, 1056 nt
Filed under: Monodelphis domestica (gray short-tailed opossum)
Lineage: Eukaryota; Metazoa; Chordata; Mammalia; Didelphimorphia; Didelphidae
Description: lncRNA (ENSMODG00000040639.1)
Source: RNAcentral